GACGAACGCUGGCGGCGUGCUUAACACAUGCAAGUCGAACGGAAAGGCCCUGCUUUUGUGGGGUGCUCGAGUGGCGAACGGGUGAGUAACACGUGAGUAACCUGCCCUUGACUUUGGGAUAACUUCAGGAAACUGGGGCUAAUACCGGAUAGGAGCUCCUGCUGCAUGGUGGGGGUUGGAAAGUUUCGGCGGUUGGGGAUGGACUCGCGGCUUAUCAGCUUGUUGGUGGGGUAGUGGCUUACCAAGGCUUUGACGGGUAGCCGGCCUGAGAGGGUGACCGGCCACAUUGGGACUGAGAUACGGCCCAGACUCCUAUGGGAGGCAGCAGUGGGGAAUAUUGCACAAUGGGCGGAAGCCUGAUGCAGCAACGCCGCGUGCGGGAUGACGGCCUUCGGGCUGUAAACCGCUUUCGCCUGUGACGAAGCGUGAGUGACGGUAAUGGGUAAAGAAGCACCGGCUAACUACGUG
Molecule: ribosomal RNA, 468 nt
Filed under: uncultured bacterium
Lineage: Bacteria
Description: partial 16S ribosomal RNA
Rfam family: Bacterial small subunit ribosomal RNA
Source: RNAcentral